AGAAGAGAAGCUAUGUUAUUAAGCAAUUAGCUGUUACCUAAUCAAUUAGUGGACCAUCCACCCCUUCUA
This 69-nucleotide transfer RNA is filed under the name Rectidens sumatrensis. Its description in RNAcentral is "tRNA-Asn". Lineage: Eukaryota; Metazoa; Mollusca; Bivalvia; Unionida; Unionidae. The record is from RNAcentral.